RNAcentral lists this ribosomal RNA (1097 nucleotides) under uncultured soil eukaryote. RNAcentral's name for it is "partial small subunit ribosomal RNA". It matches the Rfam family "Eukaryotic small subunit ribosomal RNA", at positions 149 to 1182 of the family's 1831-position model. The record is from RNAcentral.
GUGGUAAUCCCAGAGCUAAUACGUGCGUCGACCCCCUGGGCUUCGAGCCCAGGGGGCGCGUUCGCCGGACCUAAAACCGACGCAGGGUAUCCCAAACUGGUGGGGGAGGGGCAACUCUCUCUCAUCGGGCCCUGUACCUCGGCGACCCACGGCGACCCUGCGGAUCGCACGGCCCUAGCGCCGGCGACGCUUCGUUCGAAUUUCUGCCCUAUCAACUCCCGACGGUAGGAUAGAGGCCUACCGUGGUGGCGACGGGUGACGGAGGAUUAGGGUUCGAUCCCGGAGAGGGAGCCUGAGAGACGGCUACCACUUCUACGGAAGGCAGCAGGCGCGUAAAUUACCCAAUCCCGACACGGGGAGGUAGUGACAAUAAAUAACGGCGCGGAGCCCCCGGGGUUCCGCGAUCGGAAUGAGAACGACCCAAACCCGUUAUCGAGUAACAAUUGGAGGGCAAGUCUGGUGCCAGCAGCCGCGGUAAUUCCAGCUCCAAUAGCGUAUAUUAAAGUUGCUGCAGUUAAAAAGCUCGUAGUCGUACCGGGGAGGCCUCGCGGUCCAGGCCGGCCCGCCUCAGGGCGUGUCGCCGGCCCCGCGACCUCCCGAUCCUCUCGGGUGCUCCCCCCCGCUCUUAGGUGAGCGGGGCUCAGGGGGGCCCCGGGUCGGUUACUUUGAAAAAACUAGGGUGUCCAAAGCGGGCCGCACGUCGCGCCUCGAAUACAUUAGCAUGGGAUAACGAUAAGGGACCGCGCCCUCAUCCGUUGGUUCUUGAGGGCUCGGCGACGAUCGACGGGGACGGUCGGGGCCGUCGGUACCCCGUCGUCAGAGGUGAAAUUCUCGGACCGACGGGAGACCAACCCGGGCGAAAGCUCUCGGCAAGGACGCCCCCAUCGAUCAAGAACGAGAGUUAGGGGAUCGAAGACGAUCAGAUACCGUCGUAGUCCUAACCGUAAACGAUGCCGACCGGGGAUUGAGGGACGUUACUCUCGGACGACUCCCCCAGCGCCUCGCGGGAAACCACGAGUCUUUGGGUUCCGGGGGGAGUAUGGUCGCAAGGCUGAAACUUAAAGGAAUUGACGGAAGGGCACCACCAGGAGUGGAGC